This 252-nucleotide ribosomal RNA is filed under the name uncultured bacterium. RNAcentral describes it as "partial 16S ribosomal RNA". It matches the Rfam family "Bacterial small subunit ribosomal RNA", at positions 524 to 776 of the family's 1533-position model. The record is from RNAcentral.
UACGCAGGUGGCGAGCGUUGUCCGGAUUUAUUGGGCGUAAAGCGAGCGCAGGUGGUUUAUUAAGUCUGGUGUAAAAGGCAGUGGCUCAACCAUUGUAUGCAUUGGAAACUGGUAGACUUGAGUGCAGGAGAGGAGAGUGGAAUUCCAUGUGUAGCGGUGAAAUGCGUAGAUAUAUGGAGGAACACCGGUGGCGAAAGCGGCUCUCUGGCCUGUAACUGACACUGAGGCUCGAAAGCGUGGGGAGCAAACAGG